AGAAGUUCGUCACUGCAUGCUUUUGCAAAGAUGGAACAAACAAGAAGCAAAGCCAUUACCCACAAUGCAGCUUCAGGCCAUACUCAAGGGCUAACAACCUAAUUUCCCAUUUGAAAAACAUACAUGGAAUUCUUGGAGUCAAAAAAACCCACCAACAAACUCCCCAGCAGACCGGACCUCAGGCAGAAGACACCACCUCUGAGCCGACCGUUUACUGCCAGUACUGCAAGAAAGGGAAACCUCAGGAGACAUCUGACAGAAGUCCACUCUCUACCGAGCAAACCCAUUAUCUGUGUGGACAAACACAAUGGACUAUACGUGACCCCCAAAAAUGACACAGGUGGUGUGAUCCAUCCCAUCCAUGUUGCGAAAUCCACUGUAACAAAAAAUAAUUGACUGUGAAA
RNAcentral lists this long non-coding RNA (404 nucleotides) under Gadus morhua (Atlantic cod). RNAcentral describes it as "lncRNA (ENSGMOG00000032528.1)". Lineage: Eukaryota; Metazoa; Chordata; Actinopteri; Gadiformes; Gadidae. The record is from RNAcentral.